Molecule: ribosomal RNA, 828 nt
Filed under: uncultured bacterium
Lineage: Bacteria
Description: bacterial SSU rRNA
Rfam family: Bacterial small subunit ribosomal RNA
Source: RNAcentral
AUAUAGUGGCAGACGGGUGAGUAACGCGUGGAAACGUGCCUUUCACUACGGAAUAGCUUUUGGAAACGAAAGGUAAUACCGUAUACGCCCUCCGGGGGAAAGAUUUAUCGGUGAAAGAUCGGUCCGCGUUAGAUUAGCUAGUUGGUGAGGUAACGGCUCACCAAGGCUACGAUCUAUAGCUGGUCUGAGAGGAUGAUCAGCCACACUGGGACUGAGACACGGCCCAGACUCCUACGGGAGGCAGCAGUGGGGAAUAUUGCACAAUGGGCGCAAGCCUGAUGCAGCCAUGCCGCGUGAAUGAUGAAGGCCUUAGGGUUGUAAAAUUCUUUCGCCAAGGAUGAUAAUGACAGUACUUGGUAAAGAAGCCCCGGCUAACUUCGUGCCAGCAGCCGCGGUAAUACGAAGGGGGCUAGCGUUGUUCGGAAUUACUGGGCGUAAAGCGCACGUAGGCGGACUUUUAAGUCAGAUGUGAAAUCCCGAGGCUCAACCUCGGAACUGCAUUUGAAACUGGGAGUCUAGAGAUCAGGAGAGGUUAGCGGAAUACCGAGUGUAGAGGUGAAAUUCGUAGAUAUUCGGUGGAACACCAGUGGCGAAGGCGGCUAACUGGACUGAUACUGACGCUGAGGUGCGAAAGUGUGGGGAGCAAACAGGAUUAGAUACCCUGGUAGUCCACACCGUAAACGAUGAGUGCUAGUUGUCUGCAGGCAUGCCUGUAGGUGACGCAGCUAACGCAUUAAGCACUCCGCCUGGGGAGUACGGCCGCAAGGUUAAAACUCAAAGAAAUUGACGGGGGCCCGCACAAGCGGUGGAGCAUGUGGUUUAAUUCGA